RNAcentral lists this transfer RNA (77 nucleotides) under Lacrimispora saccharolytica. RNAcentral's name for it is "[Clostridium] saccharolyticum tRNA-Ala". It matches the Rfam family "tRNA". Rfam says of the family: Transfer RNA (tRNA) molecules are approximately 80 nucleotides in length. Their secondary structure includes four short double-helical elements and three loops (D, anti-codon, and T loops). RNAcentral also lists the same sequence under 2 other names. Lineage: Bacteria; Bacillati; Bacillota; Clostridia; Lachnospirales; Lachnospiraceae. The record is from RNAcentral.
GGGUAUGUAACCGAUCUAACCGGGAGAGCGCUUGAAUGGCAUUCAAGAGGCCGUGGGUUCGAGUCCCAUUAUCUCCA